GAUGAACGCUGGCGGCGUGCUUAACACAUGCAAGUCGAACGAAGCUGCUUAAAGGAAGUUUUUGGAUGGAAUUUAGGUAGACUUAGUGGCGGACGGGUGAGUAACGCGUGGAUAACCUGCCUUAUACAGGGGGAUAACGGAGAGAAAUUUCCGCUAACACCGCAUAAGACCACAGCACCGCAUGGUGCAGGGGUAAAAUAUUUAUAGGUAUAAGAUGGAUCCGCGUCCGAUUAGCUAGUUGGUGAGGUAGAGGCUCACCAAGGCGACGAUCGGUAGCCGGCCUGAGAGGGUGAACGGCCACAUUGGGACUGAGACACGGCCCAAACUCCUACGGGAGGCAGCAGUGGGGAAUAUUGGACAAUGGGGGAAACCCUGAUCCAGCGACGCCGCGUGAGUGAAGAAGUAUUUCGGUAUGUAAAGCUCUAUCAGCAGGGAAGAAAAUGACGUACCUG
Molecule: ribosomal RNA, 452 nt
Filed under: Lachnospiraceae bacterium oral taxon 107
Lineage: Bacteria; Bacillati; Bacillota; Clostridia; Lachnospirales; Lachnospiraceae
Description: bacterial SSU rRNA
Rfam family: Bacterial small subunit ribosomal RNA
Source: RNAcentral